Carlito syrichta (Philippine tarsier) is the source of this 69-nucleotide microRNA precursor. The record is from Ensembl. Lineage: Eukaryota; Metazoa; Chordata; Mammalia; Primates; Tarsiidae.
UGCUUCCUUUGUCAGUGGAACCUCCAUGUCUGGAGCCCCCAGCAGGGCCCUCUGAGGUAGAACAGCAGC